Molecule: ribosomal RNA, 566 nt
Filed under: uncultured bacterium
Lineage: Bacteria
Description: partial 16S ribosomal RNA
Rfam family: Bacterial small subunit ribosomal RNA
Source: RNAcentral
UGGGGAAUUUUGGACAAUGGGCGCAAGCCUGAUCCAGCCAUGCCGCGUGCGGGAAGAAGGCCUUCGGGUUGUAAACCGCUUUUGUCAGGGAAGAAAUCUUCUGAGUUAAUACCUCGGGAGGAUGACGGUACCUGAAGAAUAAGCACCGGCUAACUACGUGCCAGCAGCCGCGGUAAUACGUAGGGUGCAAGCGUUAAUCGGAAUUACUGGGCGUAAAGCGUGCGCAGGCGGUUUUGUAAGACAGAGGUGAAAUCCCCGGGCUCAACCUGGGAACUGCCUUUGUGACUGCAAGGCUUGAGUGCGGCAGAGGGGGGAUGGAAUUCCGCGUGUAGCAGUGAAAUGCGUAGAUAUGCGGAGGAACACCGAUGGCGAAGGCAAUCCCCUGGGCCUGCACUGACGCUCAUGCACGAAAGCGUGGGGAGCAAACAGGAUUAGAUACCCUGGUAGUCCACGCCCUAAACGAUGUCAACUGGUUGUUGGGAAGGUUCCUUCUCAGUAACGUAGCUAACGCGUGAAGUUGACCGCCUGGGGAGUACGGCCGCAAGGUUGAAACUUAAAUGAAUUGA